This is a non-coding RNA of Gossypium hirsutum (cotton), 79 nucleotides long. NCBI's taxonomy places the organism in Eukaryota, Viridiplantae, Streptophyta, Magnoliopsida, Malvales, Malvaceae. The record is from Rfam.
AGAAGCCGUGCGAGAUGAAAGUCUCAUACACGGUUUUGAAUGAGAGAAAGAAGUGAGGAAUCUUCUUUUCGACUCUGAC